CGGGGUGUGGCUCAGCCUGGUAGAGCACUGCGUUCGGGACGCAGGGGUCGGAGGUUCAAAUCCUCUCACCCCGACCA
This 77-nucleotide transfer RNA is filed under the name bacterium. RNAcentral describes it as "tRNA-Pro". It matches the Rfam family "tRNA". From Rfam's summary of the family: Transfer RNA (tRNA) molecules are approximately 80 nucleotides in length. Their secondary structure includes four short double-helical elements and three loops (D, anti-codon, and T loops). RNAcentral also lists the same sequence under 1 other name. The record is from RNAcentral.